RNAcentral lists this ribosomal RNA (442 nucleotides) under uncultured bacterium. Its description in RNAcentral is "partial 16S ribosomal RNA". It matches the Rfam family "Bacterial small subunit ribosomal RNA", at positions 338 to 795 of the family's 1533-position model. The record is from RNAcentral.
CCUACGGGUGGCUGCAGUGGGGAAUAUUGGGCAAUGGGCGCGAGCCUGACCCAGCGACGCCGCGUGAGGGAAGACUGUCUUCGGAUUGGAAACCUCUUUCAACAGGGAAGACAAAAGGACGAUACCUGCCGAAUAAGCCACGGCUAACGACGUGCCAGCAGCCGCGGUAAUACGUAGGUGGCAAGCGUUAUCCGGAAUUACUGGGUGUAAAGGGUGUGUAGGCGGGUUUGCAAGUCAGAUGUGAAAAUUAUGGGCUCAACCCAUAACCUGCGUCUGAAACUACAGAUCUUGAGAGUGGGAGAGGCAAACGGAAUGCCCGGUGUAGCGGUGAAAUGCGUAGAUAUCGGGAGGAACACCAGUGGCGAAGGCGGUCUACUAGACCAUAACUGACGCUGAUACACGAAAGCGUGGGGAGCAAACAGGAUUAGAUACCCCAGUAGUC